UACGGGGUAUUGCAAUAGUAUUCACACCAGACAUUGCACGUGUAUACACGAUACACGAGUAUUUAGACGAAAAACAGGUCUUCUAGUACAUACAAGUAUAUCUCUUUGCCUGACAAUUUGUUGUAGAACUACAACAAGGGCAAACACGUGCGUUUUACAGGAAACCACACCUUCUUGGCAGAAAUUGGUAUUGAAUAAUAUUAGUGGUAAAAUAGAAACCAUAGGAAAGAAUAGAAAAGUGAAAGAAUGCUUUGUCGGCACUUUGAUAUAAUUGCUAUUCAACACUUA
Amphimedon queenslandica is the source of this 288-nucleotide long non-coding RNA. RefSeq lists it as uncharacterized. The record is from RefSeq and is a predicted model, not a curated record. The transcript is spliced from 2 exons. Lineage: Eukaryota; Metazoa; Porifera; Demospongiae; Haplosclerida; Niphatidae.